GUGAAGGCGCAUGGUGGAUGCCUUGGCAUCAAGGGCCGAUGAAGGGCGUAGCAAGGCUGCGAAAAGCCUCGGUCAGCUGUCUAGCAAGCAAACCGAGGAUACCCGAAUGGGGCAACCCGCUCAGGUAAAACCUGGGCACCCCCAGCUCAACACAUAGGCUGGGAGGGGGUAAGCAGGGGAAGUGAAACAUCUCAGUACCCUGAGGAAAAGAAAUUAUUCCCUGAGUAGUGGCGAACGAAAGGGGAAAAGCCUAAACCUUAUAAGCUAAGUGGCUCUGAGGCCUAAGCUUAUAGGGGGUUGUAAGGCAGGUAGGACCUAGCUUAGAAUGGGUCAAGGAGUUACAAACUGAACCCUAGUCGAAGGUUCCUGGAAAGGACAACCACAGAGGGUGACGGUCCCGUAGACGAAAGGGGGAAGCUCCUUACCUGUACUUGAGUACCACGGGACACGAGAAAUCUUGUGGGAAUCUGCCCUGACCACAGGGCAAGGCUAAAUACCCUUGAUGACCGAUAGUGAACUAGUACCGUGAGGGAAAGGUGAAAAGUACCCCGGGAGGGGAGUGAAAUAGACCUGAAACCGUGUGCUUACAAGCAGUCAGAGGUCGCCUUAGGCGACUGAUGGCGUGCCUAUUGAAGAAUGAGCCGACGAGUUAAUCUAUGUAGCUGGUUAAGCAACUAUCGUUGCGCAGCCGAAGCGAAAGCAAGUCUUAAUAGGGCGAUUUAGUUGCAUAGAUUAGACCCGAAGCCGGGUGAGCUAUCCAUGGCCAGGGUGAAGCCUCGAUAAAAUCGAAGUGGAGGCCCGAACCGGUCAGCGCUGCAAAGCUGUCGGAUGAGCUGUGGAUAGAGGUGAAAUGCCAAUCGAACCCGGGGAUAGCUGGUUCUCCCCGAAAUGCAUUUAGGUGCAGCCUCAGAUGUUAGCUAAUGGAGGUAGGGCUCUGGAUGGACUAGGUGAGAUAGUAUCUCGUCAACUCCAACUAAACUGCGAAUGCCAUUAGCCAGAAUCUGGGAGUGAGACUAUGGGGGAUAAGCUCCGUAGUCGAGAGGGAAACAGCCCAGACCAUCAGCUAAGGUCCCCAAGAACAGACUAAGUGGGAAAGGAAGUAGGAUUGCCCAGACAGCCAGGAGGUUGGCUUAGAAGCAGCCAUCCUUUAAAGAGUGCGUAACAGCUCACUGGUUGAGUGGUGCUGCGCCGAUAAUUCAACGGGGCUCAAGUCUGUCACCGAAGCUAUGGCUUCCUGAUUUUAUCAGGGAGGGUAGGGGAGCGUUCCCUUGACCAUGAAGUUACUACGUGAGUAGUGGUGGAGUUAAGGGAAGUGAGAAUGUCGGCAUGAGUAGCGUAAGGUGUGUGAGAAACACACCCACCGAAAACCUGAGGUUUCCUACGGAAGGUUAAUCCGCGUAGGGUUAGUCGGGCCUAAGCCGAGGCCGGAAGGCGUAGGCGAUGGACAACGGGUUAUUAUUCCCGUACCGUUUCUGCUGAGGCAAAGGGGGGACACGGAAGGGUAGGCUAAGCAUACCCAAUGGACAUGGUGUGUCCCUUACCAUAGGUGAGGCUGGGGCAGGUAAAUCCACCCCGGAUAUUGUAGCUGAAGGUGAGGGGAAGCUGAGGGGAGACCCAAAGCGAUUUAGCUAAUCCCAUACCGUCAAGAAAAGCCUCGUUGCCGGUGAAGCAGGAACGCCCGUACCGCAAACCGACUCUGGUAGGUAGGGAUAAAAAUCCCAAGGUGAUCGAGACAACCCUCGUUAAGGAACUCGGCAAUCUAGCCCCGUAACUUAGGGAGAAGGGGUACCCGCUUAGGCGGGUGACACUAAAUGGAUCCAAGCGACUGUUUAACAAAAACAUAGGUCUCUGCUAAAGCGUAAGCUGAAGUAUAGGGGCUGAUACCUGCCCAGUGCUGGAAGGUUAAGGGGAGGGGUUAGGAGCAAUCUGAAGCCUCGAACCGAAGCCCCAGUGAACGGCGGCCGUAACUAUAACGGUCCUAAGGUAGCGAAAUCCCUUGUCGGGUAAGUUCCGACCCGCACGAAAGGUGUAACGACUUGGAUGCUGUCUCAACGAGGGACUCGGCGAAAUUGAAAUACCCGUGAAGAUGCGGGUUACCCGCGACAGGACAAAAAGACCCCGGGAGCUUUACUAUAGCUUGGCACUGGGUCUGGGCUUAUCAUGUGUAGCAUAGGUGGGAGGCUGAGAAGCCGGGGCGCUAGCCUCGGUGGAGCCAUCAUUGAAAUACCACUCUUGGUGAGUUUAGCCUCUAACCCUAGAGCAAGCUAGGGGACAGUGUCUGGUGGGUAGUUUGACUGGGGCGGUCGCCUCCUAAAAGGUAACGGAGGCGCCCAAAGGUCCCCUCAGAGUGGAUGGAAAUCACUCAUAGAGCGUAUUGGCAUAAGGGGGCUUGACUGUGAGACCAACAAGUCGAGCAGGGACGAAAGUCGGGCAAAGUGAUCCCACGGUACCGAGUGGAAGGGCCGUGGCUUAACGGAUAAAAGCUACCCCGGGGAUAACAGGCUUAUCUUGCCCAAGAGUUCACAUCGACGGCAAGGUUUGGCACCUCGAUGUCGGCUCGUCGCAUCCUGGGGCUGAAGCAGGUCCCAAGGGUUGGGCUGUUCGCCCAUUAAAGCGGUACGCGAGCUGGGUUCAGACCGUCGUGAGACAGGUCGGUCUCUAUCCGUCGUGGGCGUCCGGAGAUUUGAGGGGGGCUCUCUUUAGUACGAGAGGAUCAAGAGGGACAGACCUAUGGUGUGCCAGUUGUUCCGCCAGGGGCAUCGCUGGGUAGCUAAGUCUGGUUUGGAUAAGCGCUGAAAGCAUCUAAGUGCGAAGCCGGCCCCAAGAUAAGAUCUCCCAUCCCGGUGAUUUAUCACCGGGGGUAAGACCACAAGUAGACUACUUGUUUGAUAGGCGGUGGGUGUAAGGGCAGCAAUGUCUUUAGCUUAACCGUACUAAUGGUCGAGGGCUUGACCU
This 2955-nucleotide ribosomal RNA is filed under the name Dehalococcoidia bacterium DscP2. Its description in RNAcentral is "bacterial LSU rRNA". It matches the Rfam family "Bacterial large subunit ribosomal RNA". The record is from RNAcentral. Lineage: Bacteria; Bacillati; Chloroflexota; Dehalococcoidia.